Molecule: ribosomal RNA, 524 nt
Filed under: uncultured bacterium
Lineage: Bacteria
Description: partial 16S ribosomal RNA
Rfam family: Bacterial small subunit ribosomal RNA
Source: RNAcentral
GACGAACGCUGGCGGCGUGCCUAAUACAUGCAAGUUGAGCGCAGGAAACUGACGGAACUCUUCGGAGGGAAGGCAGUGGAAUGAGCGGCGGACGGGUGAGUAACACGUAAGGAACCUGCCUCAAGGAUUGGGAUAACUCCGAGAAAUCGGAGCUAAUACCGGAUAGUUCAUCGGACCGCAUGGUCCGUUGAUGAAAGGCGCUUCGGCGUCACCUUGAGAUGGCCUUGCGGUGCAUUAGCUAGUUGGUGGGGUAAUGGCCCACCAAGGCGACGAUGCAUGGCCGACCUGAGAGGGUAGUCGGCCACACUGGGACUGAGACACGGCGCAGACUCCUACGGGAGGCAGCAGUAGGGAAUCUUCCACAAUGGACGAAAGUCUGAUGGAGCAACGCCGCGUGAGUGAUGAAGGUUUUCGGAUCGUAAAACUCUGUUGUAAGGGAAGAACACGUACGAGAGGAAAUGCUCGUACCUUGACGGUACCUUACGAGAAAGCCACGGCUAACUACGUGCCAGCCGCCGCAGUAA